Drosophila elegans is the source of this 1773-nucleotide long non-coding RNA. RefSeq lists it as uncharacterized. Lineage: Eukaryota; Metazoa; Arthropoda; Insecta; Diptera; Drosophilidae. The record is from RefSeq and is a predicted model, not a curated record. The transcript has 2 exons.
UGAUAAGCUAAAAGUCUGGACCAACUAAUGAUCACGGUAGAUGUUGUUAGCCAAUCGUGGGAAAUACGUUGUGUAUAGGACAAACAGAGUUGGAACAAGAGCGCUACCUUAAGGAAUUCCAACUUAUAUAAUUAAGACGUCUAGUAGACACUAUUGUAAAGGUACGACUGAAGUAACUCGUGAGUGUAUUCCGGCAAAAUCUGUAUGUUUUUGUGCAUCAAGGCCUCGGUCGGAAGCCUGUGCGUCAUUAAGGAACAUCGCACUAAAGUAUUCCCGAUAUUCGAAUGCAGUCCGUAGUUCUGAUAUUAUUCUGUUGACUUGCCCUUUGGUUUCAUGGCUUUCUCGAAGGCCAAAUUGAUGUGGCGGGAUUACAUUGUGCGGUUUAUAGGUUUAUGUGCGUCAGAAGGCAUAUUUCUAGCAGUUUUAAGAAACACAAGAGUAAACUUAUUGGUCUGUGUCAUUACGAUUGCCGAUUUUUUCUCUUUCUUGAGAAGAUGGGGAAGGAGUUGAAUAACUCCCCACAAUUAACGCAAGCAGUGUAAGCGAUCAUACAGGUUCAGGCCUACUAGUUGCCAGAUUCGCGGCGAUUUCGCCCGUAGUAACGGUAGUGCGGCGAGAAAGUAUCGUACCGUGUGCACAAAGACGGACAGGAAGAGUCCGAAAAAGGCAGCAAUAAAAAAGAGCGUCGGAAUACCGUGAGCAAAAAGAAAAAUAACGGGCUAAAGGACAGCGGCGCAUUCAGAGACGGCGAAGAAUACGUCAAUAUAAUACAUUGCCAUUAUUAGCCAGAGGCCGAGGUUUACGUCGGCAAAUAGAAUCCUUAUAUCCUUGCAUCCCAACCUUCUUUGCAUUCUCGCUUGUCAGUCGGACACGUUGUUUAUAAUAUUGGUGGGACGAAAACAACGAAGUUAAUUCGUUUCAAGAACUAACAAUGCACAGUUCGGAAGUUCAAUUAUCAAUUUUAGAGUAAUUAAGUUACCGUCUGGAGACAAUUAUGGCAACAUCAUUUGGCUAAAACCUAAUUGACUACGUUUACGUUUCAGUACGAUGGUCAGUGUUGGGGUGUAUCUAGGUACUUGUACCUAGGUAUGUACCUAGGUAAUUUUUUUCGGUAUCUUUUACCUUACCUAGGUAAAAAAAUAUUUGGCUACCUUUUACCUUACCUAGGUACGAUUUUCGUUUACCUUAAGUUUUAGCUAUGUAAGGUAUUUAGGUACUUCCAUACGUGUAUGUAAAUAUUGUGCAUAUUAGAAAUAGCCCUGCUUCACAGCAAUGCAAUCGAAAACUUAGAAAUAUGAUAGUUCCACCACUUACUCACAGAGGUCUUUAUGGUAAGAAUGCAAAAAUAUUUUCCGUUGGAAUUUGGUAUAAUGCUAAAUUAGCAAUGCCGUUGCUACCUAAACAGUGCACUUUUGUCGAUGACAUUGGUUCCUAGAAAACGUCACAACAAAUCUUAAAAUGAGAAAAGAAGACGCAGAAAAAAAGGAACUACCAUUAAUUUUAAAUGGUACUUUCUUUUUACCGGACGGGAAGUGCAAACUGUGUGUGAACCAAACUAUCAAAUUUGAUGAAAAGUCAACCGGCAACUUGCAUAAACAUCUGAAGAGGGUUCACCCGAACAGUUAUUCUUCGUAUGAAGCUUUGAAAGCGAAAAAUUCAAAAAUAGAAGUGAAAAUUUCCGGUGAUCUCAAAAAAAGAAACCAAUGUGACUUAUGUUUAUAUCUUUGUAUCUCAGAAAAAGAAACUGAUAAUAAAAAUUUCAAAUUUAAAAAA